This 29-nucleotide non-coding RNA is filed under the name Rattus norvegicus (Norway rat). Lineage: Eukaryota; Metazoa; Chordata; Mammalia; Rodentia; Muridae. The record is from RNAcentral.
UACAUGAGUAGGUGCAGAUUCGUGUGUGC